UGGGGGGACCAUCCUCCAAGGCUAAAUACUCCUGACUGACCGAUAGUGAACCAGUACCGUGAGGGAAAGGCGAAAAGAACCCCGGCGAGGGGAGUGAAAAAGAACCUGAAACCGUGUACGUACAAGCAGUGGGAGCACGCUUAGGCGUGUGACUGCGUACCUUUUGUAUAAUGGGUCAGCGACUUAUAUUCUGUAGCAAGGUUAACCGAAUAGGGGAGCCGAAGGGAAACCGAGUCUUAACUGGGCGUUAAGUUGCAGGGUAUAGACCCGAAACCCGGUGAUCU
Molecule: ribosomal RNA, 284 nt
Filed under: Escherichia coli
Lineage: Bacteria; Pseudomonadati; Pseudomonadota; Gammaproteobacteria; Enterobacterales; Enterobacteriaceae
Description: partial 23S ribosomal RNA
Rfam family: Bacterial large subunit ribosomal RNA
Source: RNAcentral